Molecule: transfer RNA, 67 nt
Filed under: Crassostrea sp. DB1
Lineage: Eukaryota; Metazoa; Mollusca; Bivalvia; Ostreida; Ostreidae
Description: tRNA-Ile
Source: RNAcentral
AGUAUUGUGCCAGAGGUGCAUGGGCUUUGUUGAUGUCAAAGAAUACGAGAAAUUUUCUCCAAUACUU